UAGUCCACGCCGUAAACGAUGGUCACUCGCUGCAGGCGAUACACGGUCUGUGGCUGAGCGAAAGCAUUAAGUGACCCACCUGGGGAGUACGUUCGCAAGAAUGAAACUCAAAGGAAUUGACGGGGGCCCGCACAAGCGGUGGAGCAUGUGGUUUAAUUCGAUGAUACGCGAGGAACCUUACCAAGGCUUAAAUGCAUAACGACCGUUCUGGAAACAGAACUUUCUUCGGACGGAAUGCAAGGUGCUGCAUGGUUGUCGUCAGCUCGUGCUGUGAAGUGUCGGGUUAAGUCCCAUAACGAGCGCAACCCCUAUUUUCAGUUGCCAGCGAGUAAUGUCGGGGACUCUGGAAAAACUGCCACCGUAAGGUGAGAGGAAGGUGGGGAUGACGUCAAAUCAUCACGGCCCCUACGUCUUGGGCUACACACGUGCUACAAUGGUCGGUACAGAGGGCAGCCACCCCGCGAGGGGGAGCGAAUCUCCAAAACCGGUCUCAGUUCGGAUCGAAGUCUGCAACUCGA
RNAcentral lists this ribosomal RNA (518 nucleotides) under uncultured bacterium. RNAcentral describes it as "bacterial SSU rRNA". It matches the Rfam family "Bacterial small subunit ribosomal RNA", at positions 791 to 1315 of the family's 1533-position model. The record is from RNAcentral.